This 73-nucleotide transfer RNA is filed under the name Planctomycetota bacterium. Its description in RNAcentral is "Planctomycetes bacterium (marine metagenome) tRNA-Asn". It matches the Rfam family "tRNA". From Rfam's summary of the family: Transfer RNA (tRNA) molecules are approximately 80 nucleotides in length. Their secondary structure includes four short double-helical elements and three loops (D, anti-codon, and T loops). The record is from RNAcentral. RNAcentral also lists the same sequence under 3 other names. Lineage: Bacteria; Pseudomonadati; Planctomycetota.
UCCCCUGUAGCUCAGUUGGUAGAGCAAGCGGCUGUUAACCGCUUUGUCCGAGGUUCGAGUCCUCGCGGGGGAG